Molecule: ribosomal RNA, 468 nt
Filed under: uncultured bacterium
Lineage: Bacteria
Description: partial 16S ribosomal RNA
Rfam family: Bacterial small subunit ribosomal RNA
Source: RNAcentral
GACGAACGCUGGCGGCGUGCUUAACACAUGCAAGUCGAACGGUGAAGCUCCAGCUUGCUGGAGUGGAUCAGUGGCGAACGGGUGUGUAACACGUGAGCAACCUGCCCCUUACUCUGGAAUAAGCGCUGGAAACGGCGUCUAAUACUGGAUACGAGAAGUGUCCGCAUGGGCACUUUCUGGAAAGUUUUUCGGUUGGGGAUGGGCUCGCGGCCUAUCAGCUUGUUGGUGAGGUAAUGGCUCACCAAGGCGACGACGGGUAGCCGGCCUGAGAGGGCGACCGGCCACACUGGGACUGAGACACGGCCCAGACUCCUACGGGAGGCAGCAGUGGGGAAUAUUGCACGAUGGGCGAAAGCCUGAUGCAGCGACGCCGCGUGAGAGAUGACGGCCUUCGGGUUGUAAACCUCUUUCAGCAGGGAAGAAGCGCAAGUGACGGUACCUGCAGAAGAAGCACCGGCUAACUACGUG